UAAGGAAUAUUGGACAAUGGUCGCAAGACUGAUCCAGCCAUGCCGCGUGAAGGAUGAAGGCCCUAUGGGUUGUAAACUUCUUUUGUAUGGGAAAAAACCCCUCUACGUGUAGAGGGCUGAUUGUACCAUAAGAAUAAGGAUCGGCUAACUCCGUGCCAGCAGCCGCGGUAAUACGGAGGAUCCAAGCGUUAUCCGGAUUCAUUGGGUUUAAAGGGUGCGUAGGCGGAACGAUAAGUCAGUGGUGAAAGCCUGCAGCUUAACUGCAGAACUGCCAUUGAUACUGUCGAUCUUGAGUACAUUUGAUGAGGGCGGAAUGUGUCAUGUAGCGGUGAAAUGCUUAGAUAUGACACAGAACACCGAUUGCGAAGGCAGCUCUCAAAACUGUAACUGACGCUGAGGCACGAAAGCGUGGGUAUCAAACAGG
Molecule: ribosomal RNA, 424 nt
Filed under: uncultured bacterium
Lineage: Bacteria
Description: bacterial SSU rRNA
Rfam family: Bacterial small subunit ribosomal RNA
Source: RNAcentral